ACUCAAAGGAAUUGACGGGGGCCCGCACAAGCGGUGGAGGAUGUGGUUUAAUUCGACGCAACGCGAAGAACCUUACCAAGGCUUGACAUCCACUGAAUCUAGUAGAAAUAUUGGAGUGCCCGCAAGGGAGCAGUGAGACAGGUGGUGCAUGGCUGUCGUCAGCUCGUGUCGUGAGAUGUUGGGUUAAGUCCCGCAACGAGCGCAACCCUCGAUGCUAGUUACCAUCAUUUAGUUGGGGACUCUAGCGUGACUGCCGGAGCUAAUCCGGAGGAAGGUGAGGACGACGUCAAGUCAUCAUGCCCCUUACGUCUUGGGCUACACACGUCCUACAAUGGUAUAGACAAAGAGCUGCAAGCUAGUGAUGGCAAGCGAAUCUCAUAAACUAUAUCUCAGUUCGGAUUGUAGGCUGCAACUCGCCUACAUGAAGUUGGAAUCGCUAGUAACCGUAGAUCAGCAUGCUACGGUGAAUACGUUCCCGGGCCUUGCACACACCGCCCGU
RNAcentral lists this ribosomal RNA (499 nucleotides) under uncultured bacterium. RNAcentral's name for it is "partial 16S ribosomal RNA". It matches the Rfam family "Bacterial small subunit ribosomal RNA", at positions 899 to 1397 of the family's 1533-position model. The record is from RNAcentral.